UAACUGCGAGUGAAGCAGGGAAAAGCUCAAAUUUAAAAUCUGGCAGCUUUGCUGUCCGAGUUGUAAUCUGGAGAAGCAUUUUCCGUGCUGGACCGUGUACAAGUCUCUUGGAAUAGAGCGUCAUAGAGGGUGAGAAUCCCGUCCAUGACACGGACUACCAGUGCUUUGUGAUAUGCUCUCAAAGAGUCGAGUUGUUUGGGAAUGCAGCUCAAAAUGGGUGGUAAGUUCCAUCUAAAGCUAAAUAUUGGCGAGGAGACCGAUAGCGAACAAGUACCGUGAGGGAAAGAUGAAAAGCACUUUGAGAAAGAGAGUUAAACAGUACGUGAAAUUGUUGAAAGGGAAACGCUUGAAGUCAGUCGCGUUGUCUGGGACUCAGCCUUGCUAUUGCUUGGUGUACUUCCUAGUUAACGGGUCAACAUCAGUUUUGGUUGGUGGACAAAGGUUGGGGGAAUGUGGCAUCUUCGGAUGUGUUAUAACCCUCUUCUGUAUACACUGGCUGGGAUUGAGGUCUGCAGCACGCCUUUAUGGCCGGGGUUCGCCCA
Molecule: ribosomal RNA, 542 nt
Filed under: Lyomyces organensis
Lineage: Eukaryota; Fungi; Basidiomycota; Agaricomycetes; Hymenochaetales; Schizoporaceae
Description: eukaryotic LSU rRNA
Rfam family: Eukaryotic large subunit ribosomal RNA
Source: RNAcentral